This 489-nucleotide ribosomal RNA is filed under the name uncultured bacterium. Its description in RNAcentral is "partial 16S ribosomal RNA". It matches the Rfam family "Bacterial small subunit ribosomal RNA", at positions 28 to 507 of the family's 1533-position model. The record is from RNAcentral.
GACGAACGCUGGCGGCGUGCUUAACACAUGCAAGUCGAACGGUGAAGGGAUCAGCUUGCUGGUUCUGGAUGAGUGGCGAACGGGUGAGUAACACGUGAGUAACCUGCCCCCUUCUUCUGGAUAACCGCAUGAAAGUGUGGCUAAUACGGGAUAUUCUGCGCCUGCUGCAUGGUGGGUGUGGGAAAGAUAUUGUUUCGGUGGGGGAUGGGCUCGCGGCCUAUCAGCUUGUUAGUGGGGUGAUGGCCUACCAAGGCGGUGACGGGUAGCCGGCCUGAGAGGGUGGACGGUCACACUGGGACUGAGACACGGCCCAGACUCCUACGGGAGGCAGCAGUGGGGAAUAUUGCACAAUGGGCGCAAGCCUGAUGCAGCGACGCCGCGUGAGGGAUGGAGGCCUUCGGGUUGUGAACCUCUUUCGCCAGUGAAGCAGGCCUGUCCCUUGUGGGUGGGUUGACGGUAGCUGGAUAAGAAGCGCCGGCUAACUACGUG